RNAcentral lists this small RNA (53 nucleotides) under uncultured Hydrogeniiclostridium sp. Its description in RNAcentral is "Streptococcus sRNA SpF59 (ldcC RNA)". It matches the Rfam family "Streptococcus sRNA SpF59 (ldcC RNA)". The record is from RNAcentral. Lineage: Bacteria; Bacillati; Bacillota; Clostridia; Eubacteriales; Acutalibacteraceae.
GACCACUCCAUCGGAGGAGAUAAGGCCAUACGGACAGCCGGGUCCACUGCCGA